UAGAAGUCCAACUCUUGCUUAAGUAUUUAUUCAGUCUAAAGGUAAUGAACUGACCCUUUAUAAUCUAACAAGUCUGUUAAGAUUCAACAGAAGUAAAGAUUAAGUAACCACUUUCAUACUCUGAAGAAGGGUAUAAACAUUUGAAGGUCAAUAAAGAAGCACAUUUUUAAAUCACUCUUUGCCAAAACUGAGAAAGGAUCUUCUCUGAAAUCAGUUAAUGAUAAAUGCCAGUACCCUAAUCUGGAAGUCCUGGGGAAAGACACCAGGAAAAACAUAAGAAAACUGUUAGAAUCACCUGAGGUAAGUUAACAAGUUUUCCUUUUAGGAAAGGCACCUAAGAAUUGGAACAGCACAGAGUCCAUCCUCCUAAAUGAGUAACUGUGUAUUUUAACUUUGCCACAAAGUACCAAGGACACUAUGCUUUCAUUAAUUUUAGUGGUUUAAUAACUGUUUCAUGUGUAUAGCACUGGGUACCACUUAUUGUGA
Molecule: long non-coding RNA, 486 nt
Filed under: Bos taurus (domestic cattle)
Lineage: Eukaryota; Metazoa; Chordata; Mammalia; Artiodactyla; Bovidae
Description: long non-coding RNA NONBTAT017364
Source: RNAcentral